GACGUAGGGCGCGAGCGUUGUCCGGAUUUAUUGGGCGUAAAGAGCUCGUAGGCGGCUUGUCGCGUCGUCUGUGAAAUCCCGCGGCUCAACUGCGGGCUGCAGUCGAUACGGGCAGGCUGGAGUUCGGUAGGGGAGACUGGAAUUCCUGGUGUAGCGGUGAAAUGCGCAGAUAUCAAGAGGAACACCGGUGGCGAAGGCGGGUCUCUGGGCCGAUACUGACGCUGAGGAGCGAAAGCGUGGGGAGCGAACAGG
Molecule: ribosomal RNA, 252 nt
Filed under: uncultured bacterium
Lineage: Bacteria
Description: partial 16S ribosomal RNA
Rfam family: Bacterial small subunit ribosomal RNA
Source: RNAcentral